RNAcentral lists this unclassified non-coding RNA (334 nucleotides) under soil metagenome. RNAcentral's name for it is "partial contains 5.8S ribosomal RNA, internal transcribed spacer 2, and large subunit ribosomal RNA". The stretch from base 1 to 120 matches the Rfam family "5.8S ribosomal RNA", at positions 35 to 154 of the family's 154-position model. The record is from RNAcentral.
GAUGAAGAACGCAGCGAAAUGCGAUAAGUAAUGUGAAUUGCAGAAUUCAGUGAAUCAUCGAAUCUUUGAACGCACAUUGCGCCCCCCAGUAUUCUGGCGGGCAUGCCUGUUCGAGCGUCAUUUCAACCAUCAAGCCCUGCUUGUGUUGGGGUCCUGCGGCUGCCCGCAGGCCCUGAAAACCAGUGGCGGGCUCGCUAGUCACACCGAGCGCAGUAGCACAUCUCGCUCAGGGCGUGCGGCGGGCUCCAGCCGUUAAAGCACCCACCUUUCGCAAGGUUGACCUCGGAUCAGGUAGGAAUACCCGCUGAACUUAAGCAUAUCAAUAAGCGGAGGA